AAGAACAGUGGCUGAUUAAGGAACUCCAUGCCAACUGCCAAGACUGUGGACUUGUUUUGGCUGCUGAUCCUCAUGUUGGUGUGCAGGUUGACUGAGGGCUCAUUUUCAUUCCGAAGUCUCUGUCAGCUUGGAACAGUAGCAGAACUCAACCAAAGAAUGUGCUGGCUGCAUUUAGAUGGAUGUCCAAUGUGUAAUUAAAGCAAAAAAUGAAAAUACGUUUUCAGUCUGUCCUCCUCUUCAACCCUGUCCUCCAUUGCUACCCUGAACUCACCACAUGAUUGACAAAAGGCAAGUGGUUGGAAUACUUGGCGAAGCUUCUGUUCCAGUGUUAAAUUUGGUUCCUGGGAAGCAGCUGUGAUUGGGCCAAAGCACAUCAACCAUCCUCAAACCUUGACUCCAAGUAAAUAUUUAGUACCUUUACGAUUGGUUUUUCAUGAUUAUUACGUAUCUCAAAGGGGGAAAACUCAAUGGAAAAAGUCCCUGUUGUGUUUUAAAUGAAUCCUCAGGAGUGAUGGUUGGAAUGGCAACACAUUUCUGGGUAACCCUUAUAUAUCAGUUUAUGACCAUUUAAUAGUGUGUUGGACUGUUUUUAUAGUUACAGUUCAUCAUUAUUUUUACUGUUUGGAAAAUAUUAAAGUCACACACAUGCCUGCAUUCCAUUAUACUGUAUAGAUCUCAAGCUAGCUAGAAAUACUGAGGUACAGAAAUGUUACCUGUAUACUUUUCCAUCAACAUCACUAAUCUCACAGGUAAAUAUGGUGUUAACUGAUUACUGUAGGGCAGUGUUCAUAAGGCUCCAUGACACUUGCAUAAGCUUGUUGUGGAAAAUGACAAACCUACAUAGUAAGAGCCCUUCUUUCCCCAUCACCCCCUAAACAAGACCCCUUCUCAUAUCCCUAUGCUUUAAAAAGCUG
This is a long non-coding RNA of Pygocentrus nattereri (red-bellied piranha), 914 nucleotides long. NCBI's taxonomy places the organism in Eukaryota, Metazoa, Chordata, Actinopteri, Characiformes, Serrasalmidae. The record is from Ensembl.